RNAcentral lists this ribosomal RNA (169 nucleotides) under Gagea villosa. RNAcentral's name for it is "5.8S ribosomal RNA". It matches the Rfam family "5.8S ribosomal RNA". Rfam says of the family: 5.8S ribosomal RNA (5.8S rRNA) is a component of the large subunit of the eukaryotic ribosome. It is transcribed by RNA polymerase I as part of the 45S precursor that also contains 18S and 28S rRNA. The record is from RNAcentral. Lineage: Eukaryota; Viridiplantae; Streptophyta; Magnoliopsida; Liliales; Liliaceae.
AUUAAGACUCUCGGCAACGGAUAUCUCGGCUCUUACAUCGAUGAAGAACGUAGCGAAAUGCGAUACUUGGUGUGAAUUGCAGAAUCCCGUGAACCAUCGAGUCUUUGAACGCAAGUUGCGCCCGAGGCCUUCGGGUCGAGGGCACGCCUGCCUGGGCGUCACGCCUCGC